RNAcentral lists this transfer RNA (67 nucleotides) under Neocyema erythrosoma. RNAcentral's name for it is "tRNA-His". It matches the Rfam family "tRNA". Rfam says of the family: Transfer RNA (tRNA) molecules are approximately 80 nucleotides in length. Their secondary structure includes four short double-helical elements and three loops (D, anti-codon, and T loops). The record is from RNAcentral. Lineage: Eukaryota; Metazoa; Chordata; Actinopteri; Anguilliformes; Cyematidae.
GUAAAUAUAGUUUAAACAAAACACUAGAUUGUGAUUCUAGAGAUAGGAGAUAUACUCCUUAUCUACC